UUAAAUUAACCGUCAAGUUCUCCUUAAGUUAAUGAAUUGGAUGGGUUUGCGCAACGCAAUUCACAACAUUCUCCAAAAGUCCUUUACGUGAAAAGCACAAUAAAGAUACAAUCAAAGAUCAUUAAGCAUCAUGAAAACUAUAAGUGUUGACGAGGCAUUCGUUACUAUGAAAAGCAUGAAACUAGUGCCAAGAAUUCAUUUAACGCGAUUGUUUAUAAGCAACCUCCACUACUUGUGAAUAUAAGUUCAUAACGAUUAGGUGAAACUCACUUAUAUUCUAGCGUCAUAUAUUUAUGCAUGAAAAUUAAGCGUGCACUCUCAAUAAACAUACAUAAAUAAGUUAUCAAUCAAAUGGUUAAACAAAUUGAAUCCACAACUUAUGAAAUUCCAACCAAAGGUAAUCAAUUCAUAUUGCAAGCAUAAACAUAGUUUCGAAUCACCCCCUAGCUAAAGGGUUUAGUUCCUCAUACUUGCAAUUAAACAAAACAAUUGAUAUUAAACAUAGAGAAACAAAGUAGAAUACACCUAGAAUGCUCCAACAACUCCAAUGGAAUGGCUAGCACAACUCCAAGCACUCCUCCUUCUUUGCAAGCCUUGGAACUAAUGGAAAUGUGUAUGAAUUUCUAUGUGUCUUCCUUGAAGGCUGAAUGGUGUUUAUAUAGAGGUUGAAAAUGAAAAGAAUUUCAAGGCAAUGGACAUGACAACUCACGGCAAAGAAGAAAGGAUGCUGCCAGCUUUGUUUUUGCAUGUGUGUGUGCUGUUUUUGUGCUCUUUCCACCUAGAAACAAUCAUUCCAAAGCCACCCAAAGUUAUAAGUGGAAGACCAACCAGAAAUCCACCUCAUAGUGGUCCAAUUUCUGCCAUUCCUUGCUGUCCAUUCACUACCAAAGUUGUAGAAAUCUGCCAACUCCAUUCCAUUGCCGUGUGUGUGUGUUUGUGUUGUCAUCAUCACUUCCCACUCUUCCAUGCUUUAAUUUCUGAUUCCUUGCUGCCCAUGUGGUGUGUGUGUUGCUGUUUUCUUUCCUUCUUGUUGCCCAUGUGGUGUUUAUACUUGCACAUGCAUGUUCUUCAUCCAUUUAGCUAGCAAUAAACACAUUUUCUGCCAUCACAUGGCAGCUAUGAUGUUUGAAGUUGUAGGCCAACACUUUGCACACACACAUGUAGAUUUCUAGCCCAUUGAAUCAUCAAAUUCGUCCAUCCUCAUGUCUCCAUGUUUGCACCAUCCAAUCUUGGCCCAAAAAUGCUCCAAAGUGCUCCAAAAUGCACCUUCUUGCAUCCUUGGCCCAAAGAACCUACAAACACACAAAAAUGGCUUAAAACUACUAACAUAACUAAGAACUAAGAACAUAAAUGCACGAAAACAAACAUACUAAGUCGCAUAAAUAUGCUCCUAUCAAAUUCCCCCACACUUAGCUUUUGCUAGUCCUCGAGCAAAAACAAAGAAACAAAACAUAAGAACAAAACAAAACCUAAACCUUCCAACAAUUACCUUAGGGAUUUUCAAUGCAACAUGACAUGCAAAAGAUCAUCAUAACCACAGAUUUUUGCCUUCCCUACCCUUGAGCACAUACUUAAUCAAAGUCACCACAUACUAGUUCACAUAUAACCAAUUAAAACGAUGUUUUGAAUGUAGUAGUAACAUGCCUUAGAGAAUUUGCUCAAUUCCUUACAAGAUACACUCUUAUUUUCACUCUGAUUUUCUGACUACUUACCCUACACUAGAUGUAUGUGAGAAGAUUGAUGUAAACAUGAAAACGAACACUCACAUAUGUUUAUAGCAAAGAAAGAAAUUUCUGGAGUUAUUAAGCAUGUAUAGAUAUGAUCUCAUGACUGGAAUGCUACUACUUAGAUGCGAGAACCAGGGACACCAUAUGCUCGUACCAAUCCCAAACUCCACAUAUUGAAACACAUAACACUCAAGAUUGAAGUUAAGGGUUGUAACGGGGUUAGGGGUGAUUGGCUAACAAUGAAAGGUAAGGAAACAAACGUUUUUAAAGCAUAAUAAGCAAAGUAAUGAAAUUGAUGCUUAGAAUUCCCUUUGAAUGCAACAACUAACUUUAAACACAAUGGGGUUAUUCAUUCAACUUUUUAGGGCCGAUUUCAACUACAAACAACACUUGUGAGCCUUUCCUCACUUAUUUCAAACUCUUUUUCUUUUCUUUUUUUUUUUCCUUUUUCUUUUCUAACCCGUGCCUUAUUACUUUCUUUUGGCACACAAAACACAAAAAUCUCAUUCCCCCACACUUGUUUUCUGCAUAAGGACAAUCAAAAGGAAUUCAUUUUAAGUCAUGCUUCAUUAUGCUUUAAAAACAAGGGUAUGGAUAGUCCUAAUCUAGGCUAGGUAAGGGAAAUGUGGUUUAACAAAGAAAACAGGCUAAACAAGGCUCAACGGGGUUAAACUUAAACAAAUAUGCACGGGAUAAGCUUUUUGGCUCUAGUUCACUAUACAACUUCAUCUUGAAUAUGUGUUAUGCAAAUCAAUGUCAUGCUUUGAAUGGAACGGGCAUAAGUUCUAGUAUUUGGAACUAAAUGAUGAAACGCCUUCUAAGUAGCAACCAAGCAAAGAAUGAUGAGAUCAUGCAACGACUUUAGAAAACAAAAAUGCACAGAUUAAUAACUCUUCAAAGAACGUAUUAGGCUCAAGUCUCUCAAGGUUGUAGUGUUAGUUUGAGUUCCUUCCUUCAAGCAUGUUACAAAAACUGAUUUUUUUCUUUGUGAUUACAUGUGAAUUCGUAAACUAUAACUAUAACCAAGCAUAAAUCAAGAGCAUAUCAAACUUCCAUCCAUGUUUAUAACUUUCUUUAACAGUCAUGCAAUUAAAAACCAAAUCCUCAUUAUUUGUGUUGGAAGGUACCCUAAGACACAAACAAACACACAAAAACAACUCUUUUUGGCUUUUUCAAAACAAUUUUUUUCAAAUUUUUGUCAAAUUUUCGGAUUUUUAUGUCAAAACAUACUAACAUGCUUAAAAACACACUAAAAACACUUAAAACAGCAAGAAACAACAUUGUAAGUGAUAGGUGAAUAAAAUCACACGAAAAUCAUGCAACAGCAACUUGUUUACCCCCCCACACUUAAAUCUAACAUUGUCCUCAAUGUUUCAAACAUAAACUCACACAAAAGCAAACAAACAAACAACGAGGAAACAUGAUAAACAUGGCAAAGUAAAAGCAACAGAGAGGAGGGUUAAAGAACGCAAACACCUGGUUUUGGAGUCGGAAAUUCCUAGGUCUUCUUUAUUUCCAUGGGUUGCCUCCAUCACUAAUGAGAACUCUAGGCAUGCCAAACCUAGCAAAGAUAUUAGUUUUCACAAAAUCUGCAACAACCUUUGAAUCGUUAGUCCGGGUGGCUUUGGCUUCCACCCAUUUGGAAACAUAAUCAACAGCUAGCAAGAUAUAAGUGAAACCAAAAGAUGGAGGGAAAGGACCCAUGAAAUCUAUACCCCAAUGUCAGAAAACACUAUAAUGCAAAUAAAAAUAAAAUAAAUAAAUAAUAAGAAACAAAAUAAAGCAAUUGGACUGAAAACUUCCCUAGUUUGCAGUAAAACCAAGCGAUGACCCCCCAAGCUAAAAUUCUGCAAUCAACUUCAAGGGUGGAAAUAACCAAAAGUUCCUACAAAGAAAAGAAAUAAUUCAGUUUAGUAACACAAGAAAAUAUAAAAAAAAUGCAAACGAAAAUUGAAAAAUUGAAAAUCACGAUAAAAGACAAUGAAUAGAACUAAUAAGUGAUCAUUGGUCGUGCUUGUUUGACUUUCCACAGCUUUCCUCUUGAACAGGGGUGACACUUAGCUUUUUACUUGCAAGUGAUGAUUUGAUGAUAUUGUACGGCGAAGCUUUGCUCUUUGGUGAUGUUGCAGUUCCUUAUUUGUUCUCCAAGCAGAUGUGGCAGCUUCUCUAGUUCUUCAGCUCGGACUCCUUCCGCUGGGAUGAUUGUGCAAGCUGCAUUCUUCUCUGCUUGUUUCUUCUGUACGUUGUCUCCACAUGCUGUUGGUAUCAUUUUCGCUUGCCUUAUCUGUUCUUCAGGUAGAUGUGGCAACUUCUUUGGAAGUACAUCAGCAGUGGAAGACGAGUACUCGAGAGCAAUUUCUCCAUGUCCUGCAGGUUAGAACAAAGACAAGGAAAAGGACAUGGAGAAUGCAUGAUAUGAGAUACUCUUGCUUUCAACCUUUAUGAUAUGAAAUACUUUUGCUCUGGAUGGGUUGUUUGCAGGGGUAUCCCAGGGAAUGAGGAAUACAGUGUGACUCGAGAGGGUUCUUUGGGAAUGCAUUCUCGGAGAUGAAGAAGUGCUGAGAGGGUGUGCCUUUGCUGUGGAAGGCGAAGGUAAAUACUUAUAGGACUUUUCUUCACAACCGGAACUAUUCUCUCACUCAUUGUCGGCAGCCGGUGGAUGGAUGAAUAGUACAAAUUACGCGCUUUCUGACAAAGCUGCCCGUAAUUUUCGCAAAGCUGCCAGUUGCAUGUGACGAGUGACGACACGUCUAGACAAAUUGAUCUUUUGAAAUCCGGGGUUCGGCUCGUGGUUUCUGAGCAAGCCCAUUUUUUGAGAAAUGAAACGCCUCUUUUGAGAAAAGAAUCCGGCUUUUGAGAAAGGAGCCCCGACUCUUCGAUUUGCGAGAGGACGCUUCUCUGAGGAGCGCCUAUUUGAUUUCUUCUUUUUAUAGAGGCGUUAAUUUUGUUCCACAACACACUUGAGCUCCCUCCUGUAAACACUCCCUCCUGUAAACUUCCAAAAUCUUAAUCAGUCCGACUCUCUUCUUUCUUCACCACCUUCAGAAAAAUGUCUGGCCCUUCCGAUCGUCGUUUUGACUUGAACAUUGGUGAAGAGGCAGCUCCGCCUUCACUAGACAACAUAUGGCGCCCAUCCUUCAUAUCCCCUACCGGUCCUCUUACCGUUGGGGAUUCGGUGAUGAAAAAUGACAUGACCGCUGCGGUGGUGGCCCGGAACCUUGUCACCCCAAGAGAUAACAGACUGCUCGCUAGACGGUCUGUGAUGAAAUUGGCGGUUAAGGAGUCUCUGGCUCUUAGCGUGCAGUGUGCGGGUUCUGUGUCCAACAUGGCCCAACGCCUAUUUGCUCGAACCCGUCACGUUGAAUCGUUGGUGGCUGAAAUACAGAGUCUCAAAGAGGAGAUUAGAGGACUCAAGCAUGAAAAUAAACAAUUGCACAAACUUGCACACAGUUAUGCCACAAACAUAAAGAGGAAAAUUGACCAGCUGCAGGAAAAUGAUGGUCAGAUUUUACUUGAUCACCGGAGGUUUGUGGGUUUGUUCCAACCGCAUCUGCCUUCGUCUUCUGGGGCGGCACCGCGUAGUGAAGCUCCAACUGAUCAACCUCCGAUACCUCCUCCUUCCGUGGCCCCGCCGACUGCUGAAGCUCCGCCGACUACUGAAGCACCACCUGACCAAUGAAAGCUAUUAGUUUACACAUCAUUGUAAAAUAUGGUUACUUUUAAUGUAUUUUUUUUUUUUUUUUUUUUUUUUUUUUUUGAAUCAAUGUAAAAUAUGUAAAUCAAUGUAAAAAGACUUUGUUUAACCUUCCCCCACACUUAAACUAAAUAACACAAACUCACAGAAAUCAACCAAAUAACACAACUAACUGAACAAAACAAAAUGAAAGCAGUAAAGAUAAGGGUGUAAGAAUGCAAAUCUGAUUUGGUUAGCGAUUCCAAAGUCUCCCUUCGUUGAAUGCUUGGGUUGCCUCCCAAGAAGCGCUUGAUUUAACGUCUUUAGCCGGACGAAUCUUUCCUUUAAACUCCCAUCGGCUCCAAAGCAUGGAAUUUAUCUUUUAAUGGGAGGUGAUACUUGAAAUGAUUCGGCAAUGGUUUAAAUUCAAGAGUGGGUGCCUGAAUCAUCAAAAUCAGAAACAUGUUAGUAUAAGUUAAAAUUAAAUUUGGAGAAGAUGGCUUACUUUCUUUUUCCGACAUAAACUCAAUGACAAACACCACAUUUGUGAACAUUUCUGGGACUUUGAACUUGGCCAGGUUUACUAUGAUGGUUGUGGCGUGUCCCGUGUCAUCAAACUCAACUGCUUUGGGCUUGAUUGUCUCAUGCACAGCCUCUUGGAUGUAUUCUUGAUAUGCUUCAACCACUUCAUUCUCUUGAAUCCCUUUUCUUGGUGUGCAAGGUUCUUUGAACGUUUCAAUACCAUCGGGAACUUGUUUUGGUGCACCAAGAAUUAGGAUAUCACUUUGCACCUUUGGAAGAGCUUCCACAAUGUCUUUUUCACUCUCUUUGAUAUUUGGAAUCAAAAACCUGCAAGGACAAAGGACAUUCGGUGGAAUAAUGUUAGAAUGAAGUGAAUUAGAACUUCCUCACCUGAGUUGGAUGACAUAGGGAUUUGAGGAGCUUGCAGCAAGAAUUCUUCUAAACUGCCCAGGUCGUCCUCCUCCUCUUCUGCUUGCAGCAGCAGCAGCAUUCAUCAUCCAUGUUCGGGCUGUGUUUGGAUGGUUCUGGGACAGCUUCAUCCUUCAUGUCACCUUCCAAAGUGAUAGCUUCAUCGAUUUCAACUUCUGCCUUUGAAUUUGCAAUGUUUGAGUUGGAAAGUUCACUUUGAUCUCGAAUCUAUGCCAUGAAUUCCACAAUCUGCCCAACUUGCAUUUCCAAUUCGUCCACUCUUUUGACUCGGUCUUGCAUCUCCUGGUUUUGAUUUUCUACUCCCUGAUUCAAAGAGGUGAGUAACUUAUUAAGUGUAUCAUUAUCCAAGGAUGUACCUGAAUUGAAUUGGGUUGAUUGUUGUGGUGGCUGUGACGGUUCAUAUGGCCACUGAUAGAACUCUUCCGAUGGCGGCAAUUGUUCUUCUUUUCGUAAACCCUGCGCCACAGAAAUUAGUCCUUCAAGAGUUUCAUUAUAAUUCAUGGGCAUACUUUGAUUUGAUUGGAAUUGUUGUGGGGGAUGCUGUGGUGGCUGCAUAGGUCUUGAAUAGAACUCGUCUUGCUGCCAAUAUCCACCUUGUUGAAAUUGUUGAGGUUCAUCCCACAUAUAAUCUGAAUUACCUCUCCAAUCUGAAUUGUAAGCGUUGGAAAAUAUGUUGCCCCUUGAUUGGUUAUGGCCUUGAUAUCCCCAAACAUCUUCAUUUGCAUAAAAUUGAGGACUUUGAUAACCUUGCCCAUAGGGCACAUCAAAUGUAGGGACACUUGGCAUUGUGGUCCGUUCGGCAUUAUGAGUCAAUUGAGCAGUGAGCUGUGCCAAUUGAGCUUGAAUGGUCGCAAGUGCCAUAUCUCGCUCCAUUUGUACCUAAAAUCAAAGGAAGAAAAAUAAAUCAAAUAUCAAAAGUAACACAAAACAAGGAAAACAAAACUAAGUCAGAAACUAAAACAAAAACAAACUAAACAAAAAGAAAAGACCAAGGGAUUAGCAAAGUUUGCUAAUCCCCGGCAACGGCGCCAAAAUUUGGUGCGAAAAUUACUUGACACACAAAUUAAACCCUAUUUGUGACAAUUGUAGUAAUGAUAUAAGUAGGGAUCGUUCUAACCGGGGAUUAACUAGGGGUGCUAAACACUUGACUCAAAUAAAUAAAACUAACUUUUAAAACACUAAGACAAACCAAAAGACUCAAAACAAGUUCAAAAGACUCCAAAUACGUAAAAGCAUAAAAUAAGAUAGAUUUGAACGACUAAGACUUUAACAAAAUAUGGGGAGGGGGAAUUGAGUUGUUUUUGACGAGAUUAAAUUAAAUGGACAGAUUAUAAUUAAGGGCAAAAUGUAAAUAUGAAUGCGAUGAAAAAAUAUGGAUGAUGGAAUAGCUUAAGGGGUUCUUCUCCACACAUGUCACACUUGCAAUACAAGAUCGAUUCUCAGUUGGUCUUUCGAUAAAUUAUGAAACUCAACACCCUAGGUUAAUUAGGUCCGCUUAAAUUAACCGUCAAGUUCUCCUUAAGUUAAUGAAUUGGAUGGGUUUGCGCAACGCAAUUCACAACAUUCUCCAAAAGUCCUUUACGUGAAAAGCACAAUAAAGAUACAAUCAAAGAUCAUUAAGCAUCAUGAAAACUAUAAGUGUUGACGAGGCAUUCGUUACUAUGAAAAGCAUGAAACUAGUGCCAAGAAUUCAUUUAACGCGAUUGUUUAUAAGCAACCUCCACUACUUGUGAAUAUAAGUUCAUAACGAUUAGGUGAAACUCACUUAUAUUCUAGCGUCAUAUUUAUGCAUGAAAAUUAAGCGUGCACUCUCAAUAAACAUACAUAAAUAAGUUAUCAAUCAAAUGGUUAAACAAAUUGAAUCCACAACUUAUGAAAUUCCAACCAAAGGUAAUCAAUUCAUAUUGCAAGCAUAAACAUAGUUUCGAAUCACCCCCUAGCUAAAGGGUUUAGUUCCUCAUACUUGCAAUUAAACAAAAACAAUUGAUAUUAAACAUAGAGAAACAAAGUAGAAUACACCUAGAAUGCUCCAACAACUCCAAUGGAAUGGCUAGCACAACUCCAAGCACUCCUCCUUCUUUGCAAGCCUUGGAACUAAUGGAAAUGUGUAUGAAUUUCUGUGUGUCUUCCUUGAAGGCUGAAUGGUGUUUAUAUAGAGGUUGAAAAUGAAAAGAAUUUCAAGGCAAUGGACAUGACAACUCACGGCAAAGAAGAAAGGAUGCUGCCAGCUUUGUUUUUGCAUGUGUGUGUGCUGUUUUUGUGCUCUUUCCACCUAGAAACAAUCAUUCCAAAGCCACCCAAAGUUAUAAGUGGAAGACCAACCAGAAAUCCACCUCAUAGUGGUCCAAUUUCUGCCAUUCCUUGCUGUCCAUUCACUACCAAAGUUGUAGAAAUCUGCCAACUCCAUUCCAUUGCCGUGUGUGUGUGUUUGUGUUGUCAUCAUCACUUCCCACUCUUCCAUGCUUUUAAUUUCUGAUUCCUUGCUGCCCAUGUGGUGUGUGUGUUGCUGUUUUCUUUCCUUCUUGCUGCCCAUGUGGUGUUUAUACUUGCACAUGCAUGUUCUUCAUCCAUUUAGCUAGCAAUAAACACAUUUUCUGCCAUCACAUGGUAGCUAUGAUGUUUGAAGUUGUAGGCCAACACUUUGCACACACACAUGUAGAUUUCUAGCCCAUUGAAUCAUCAAAUUCGUCC
This 9042-nucleotide long non-coding RNA is filed under the name Malus domestica (apple). RNAcentral describes it as "long non-coding RNA (MDOM_LNC010271)". Lineage: Eukaryota; Viridiplantae; Streptophyta; Magnoliopsida; Rosales; Rosaceae. The record is from RNAcentral.